UACGGAGGGUGCAAGCGUUAUCCGGAUUUACUGGGUUUAAAGGGUGCGUAGGCGGGUAGGUAAGUCCGCGGUGAAAUCCCCGAGCUUAACUUGGGAACUGCCGUUGAUACUAUUUAUCUUGAAUGUUGUGGAGGUUAGCGGAAUAUGUCAUGUAGCGGUGAAAUGCUUAGAUAUGACAUAGAACACCCAUUGCGAAGGCAGCUAACUACGCAAAUAUUGACGCUGAGGCACGAAAGCGUGGGGAUCAAACAGG
Molecule: ribosomal RNA, 253 nt
Filed under: uncultured bacterium
Lineage: Bacteria
Description: partial 16S ribosomal RNA
Rfam family: Bacterial small subunit ribosomal RNA
Source: RNAcentral